This is a small nuclear RNA of Erpetoichthys calabaricus (reedfish), 136 nucleotides long. Its record names the gene U4. It matches the Rfam family "U4 spliceosomal RNA". From Rfam's summary of the family: U4 small nuclear RNA (U4 snRNA) is a component of the major U2-dependent spliceosome. The structure of U4 snRNA from yeast and human has been reported. NCBI's taxonomy places the organism in Eukaryota, Metazoa, Chordata, Cladistia, Polypteriformes, Polypteridae. The record is from Ensembl.
AGCUUUGCCCAGUGACAGUAUCAUAGCCAAUUAGGUUCAUCCAAGGGGCGAUUAUUGCUAAUUGAAAACUUUACCCAAAAAACAUUUAAACAGCUUUAAAAAAAAUAAUUCAUUAUGGAAUUUAAGAUACAAAAUU